RNAcentral lists this non-coding RNA (393 nucleotides) under Oryctes borbonicus. RNAcentral's name for it is "Bacterial large subunit ribosomal RNA". It matches the Rfam family "Bacterial large subunit ribosomal RNA", at positions 2049 to 2651 of the family's 2925-position model. Lineage: Eukaryota; Metazoa; Arthropoda; Insecta; Coleoptera; Scarabaeidae. The record is from Rfam by way of RNAcentral.
AUAAGUAAGAAAGCUUAUAUGGUUUUAAAAGACGAGAAGACCCUAUAGAAUUUUAUAGUUAACUAGGUAUGAUGUUACUGGAAUUUUAAGUUUCAUAUUUGUUUAACUAUUUUGUUGGGGCGACUGAAAAAUUGAAUGAACUUUUUUUAUGCUAUUUCAUUGAUUUAUGUGUGUUUGAUCCACUUGUUGUGAUUAUAAGAUAAAAUUACCUUAGGGAUAACAGCGUAAUUUUUCUUUAGAGUUCUUAUCGAAAGAAGAGUUUGCGACCUCGAUGUUGGAUUAAAAUUAACUUUUGGUGCAGGGGCUAAAAGGUUAGGUCUGUUCGACCUUUAAAAUUUUACAUGAUCUGAGUUUAAACCGGCGUGAGCCAGGUUGGUUUCUAUCUUUAAGAUA